UCUUGACGUUAGCAACAGAAGAAGCACCGGCUAACUCCGUGCCAGCAGCCGCGGUAAUACGGAGGGUGCGAGCGUUAAUCGGAAUUACUGGGCGUAAAGCGCAUGCAGGUGGUUCAUUAAGUCAGAUGUGAAAGCCCGGGGCUCAACCUCGGAACUGCAUUUGAAACUGGUGAACUAGAGUGCUGUAGAGGGGGGUAGAAUUUCAGGUGUAGCGGUGAAAUGCGUAGAGAUCUGAAGGAAUACCAGUGGCGAAGGCGGCCCCCUGGACAGACACUGACACUCAGAUGCGAAAGCGUGGGGAGCAAACAGGAUUAGAUAC
Molecule: ribosomal RNA, 319 nt
Filed under: Vibrio tasmaniensis 1F-155
Lineage: Bacteria; Pseudomonadati; Pseudomonadota; Gammaproteobacteria; Vibrionales; Vibrionaceae
Description: bacterial SSU rRNA
Rfam family: Bacterial small subunit ribosomal RNA
Source: RNAcentral